CAGUAGCCGCGGGAACACGAAGGGUGCAAGCGUUAAUCGGAAUUACUGGGCGUAAAGCGUGCGUAGGCGGUUUGUUAAGUUGGAUGUGAAAUCCCCGGGCUCAACCUGGGAACUGCAUUCAAAACUGACUGACUAGAGUAUGGUAGAGGGUGGUGGAAUUUCCUGUGUAGCGGUGAAAUGCGUAGAUAUAGGAAGGAACACCAGUGGCGAAGGCGACCACCUGGACUAAUACUGACACUGAGGUGCGAAAGCGUGGGGAGCAAACAGGAUUAGAUACCCCGGUAGUCCAUGUCUCUUAUAC
This 301-nucleotide ribosomal RNA is filed under the name uncultured bacterium. RNAcentral's name for it is "partial 16S ribosomal RNA". It matches the Rfam family "Bacterial small subunit ribosomal RNA", at positions 509 to 807 of the family's 1533-position model. The record is from RNAcentral.